ACGGGGGGGGCAAGCGUUAAUCGGAAUUACUGGGCGUAAAGCGUGCGCAGGCGGUUCUCCAAGUCCGUUGUGAAAGCCCCGGGCUCAACCUGGGAAUGGCAGUGGAAACUAGGGGACUGGAAUCUGGCAGAGGGGGGUGGAAUUCCGCGUGUAGCAGUGAAAUGCGUAGAGAUGCGGAGGAACACCGAUGGCGAAGGCAGCCCCCUGGGCUAACACUGACGCUCAGGCACGAAAGCGUGGGGAGCAAACAGGA
This 253-nucleotide ribosomal RNA is filed under the name uncultured prokaryote. RNAcentral's name for it is "partial 16S ribosomal RNA". It matches the Rfam family "Bacterial small subunit ribosomal RNA", at positions 525 to 777 of the family's 1533-position model. The record is from RNAcentral.